GUUACAAUUGUCAAUGAAUACGAUGCGCAGCUGAAGAUAUUUAUCAACAAAAUUCGAAUUACAAGCUAACGAGCGAUCAAAAUAAUCCAGAAAUAGUUUAAACUACUUUAAAAAAAGUUUAUACAUUUUUCAAAACAAGAAUUAUAUAUCGGAAGCUAAUAGGUGGGCUGAAACAGAUGAACUAAAGCAACGUAUUAUUCGGACACACUAAUUUCGGAUGUUAAACUAUAUUGUAUAUACUGCCAUGAUAAUGGAAUAAAGGCAAGAGAGACAGGAUUGUUAAAAUAGAAGGUGAUAGAUCUGUGAUAUGUAGACAUAGAAACAGUCGAGGAGACCUGUCAAGUGAUAUAAAUGUUGUCAUACUACAGAGAAUUGUGAUACAAGAAUUCCUAGGCAAUAUUACAAUACCAUAUUGGUGUUUGUAAUUAAAAUCUGUGAUCAUAUAAAAUACAGUUAGAAAUUCAGACAUUUUGUUUGUGGGAAAAUUUGUGAUAUCAGUAACUAUUGUGAAAAGUAAAAGAUAAUCUUUUAAACAUGUCUCAACCACCGCAGACAUAUGAACUUACAACAUUUUCAACAUUGGUUGUUUUAUGUGUUUCAGCAAUUUUCUUAUUCCUUUGUGUAAAAACACUGUUGGGCAUUGUGCAAUGGUUGAUGGGAAAGAACUCAAAGACUGAUAAAUCAGCAAAAGAUGAAAUUAAGGUAACAGAAGAAGUAGAAGAAGAGGAUGAGGCUGAUGGUGGUGUAGACACUACAACAGAACCAGCAGAUCUAGAUACCAAAAAAGGAAAAUAAUAGGAUUAUUAUAACUUAAUUAGGAAUAUACUGUACUGAUUGGAUUACUGUAUAAGUAAAAAUAGUUAUUCUUUGGGAUGGACUCUAGCUGACUUUACAAGAUCUAGAUGUACGUUGUAUUUGUAGAAAUAACAAUAGGGGGUUAUUGUUGUGGAUGUAGGGGUUUAAGAUAAACAUUAUUGUCACUAAAAAUGAGAUAACAAAAUGAAACAGUCUACUGAUAUAGAUUUAAGGAUGGGCAUUUUUUAUAGGACUUAAACAAUGUUGAAAGAAAGUCAUAGAUAAAGAAAUGAACAUGUCUGUUGUUUGUCAUUGCCAGAGUAAAAACUCACGUAAAUGGUGCCUAAUCUAAAUCCCUUGGUUUACACAUUUUUCUUUUAAAUUACCGUACAAUAGUUUCAAAGUAUUUUUGUAUGUAAGAGCGCUUAAACUACAGCAAUGCUUUAGUAAUAUAAAAUGGUUACUAGUACUUUAUGUUUUUCUAAAACUUAAAUUUUGUUUCUAUUCCUUACUCUGACAGAAUUAGAUACAUGUAUUUACAGACAAACUGUUAUGUAAGUUUGGUAAAGUAUGUUGUUUCUUACACAGUGAUUUCACCAAGUUAAAUCAUAAUAUUUGAAAAUAUGUGAAAUAUAGAAUUUUGACACUUAUUCUGUUCAAGUACAUAGUAUAUACAUGUAGAAAUCAGGUCAACAUAUUCAUGACAUCAUUUCAAAGAUAACAUUGAUAUAAAUGGGCAUUAUUUGGUGCCAAUUUUGGUAACAUCCUACUUCUAGUUUAUUGAAAAUGCUGUAGAAUGUGAUGUAAGAUAAAAACAAAAAAGAAAAUUGGUCCUUUGUCAGUGAAUAUAUACUAUAUUAAUACAGUUGACUCUCAAUAAGUCAAAAUCGCUUUACUCAAAAUUCCGCCUUAGUCGAAUAAUUUCUAAAGUCCCGUCAAAUUUCCUUCUUUAUCUUUGUAUUUUAACUCCGCUUAGGUCAAAUUUUGACUUACCGAGACUCCUGUUUAGUCGAAAAGAAAAUUUGGUCCCGUCAAUUAAAGUCCACAUAUUUUCAUCUCAAUUAGUCGAAGUGUGAAAACAGCCGACUGAUCAAAGGUCGGCGACAUCAAGGUGAGAUGUUGUCACUCGUGAUUUACACGUUUCAUAGUAAUUUUUAAUUGCCGGUCAUCAUGUAUUAUUAACACGUCGUAAAAGUGUCUUUAAUCCGUUUCACGACUUAAUUGGUUUUAACAGUUAGAUAACUAAAUUAAAAUUUAAUUACAUUUCUUUAAAAAAGUUGACUCGUGCCAGUCUGACGGGUGUUA
Ruditapes philippinarum (Manila clam) is the source of this 2100-nucleotide long non-coding RNA. RefSeq lists it as uncharacterized. NCBI's taxonomy places the organism in Eukaryota, Metazoa, Mollusca, Bivalvia, Venerida, Veneridae. The record is from RefSeq and is a predicted model, not a curated record. The transcript has 2 exons.